AAAUAAAAGUAGGAGCUACCCGCUUCUCGCCUUAGCAGACUUUGUCACUGGGCUAGAUAGUAAUUAUUCAUUUUUAGCAAUUAUGAAUAAAGAUAAGUGCGGGUUCUGUUAUGACAGUACCUGUUUUUUUAUUAUCAG
Melissococcus plutonius ATCC 35311 is the source of this 138-nucleotide regulatory RNA element. It matches the Rfam family "Ribosomal protein L20 leader". From Rfam's summary of the family: This family is a putative r-protein leader autoregulatory structure found in B. subtilis and other low-GC Gram-positive bacteria. It is located in the 5' untranslated regions of mRNAs encoding initiation factor 3 followed by ribosomal proteins L35 and L20 (infC-rpmI-rplT). The record is from Rfam. NCBI's taxonomy places the organism in Bacteria, Bacillati, Bacillota, Bacilli, Lactobacillales, Enterococcaceae.